CAAGAAACGAGGCCGCGUGCGCUCGCCCGCCCGGCCCCGCUCCUUACCUUGCCUACUGCACCGUUUGUUGCUUCCUGGCGGCGGACUGCCCGCCGUCAGGGACGUUGACACAAUCCUGUAUAGAAGCAUUGAAGCUCUGAGAAAACGCGAAAUCGUA
This 157-nucleotide unclassified non-coding RNA is filed under the name soil metagenome. RNAcentral describes it as "partial internal transcribed spacer 1". The record is from RNAcentral.